GACGAACGCUGGCGGCGUGCCUAAUUACAUGCAAGUCGAGCGAGCUGAAUUCAAAGAUUCCUUCGGGAUGAUUUGUUGGACGCUAGCGGCGGAUGGGUGAGUAACACGUGGGCAAUCUGCCCUAAAGACUGGGAUACCACUUGGAAACAGGUGCUAAUACCGGAUAACAACAUGAAUCGCAUGAUUCAAGUUUGAAGGGCGGCGUAAGCUGUCACUUUAGGAUGAGCCCGCGGCGCAUUAGCUAGUUGGUGGGGUAAAGGCCUACCAAGGCGAUGAUGCGUAGCCGAGUUGAGAGACUGAUCGGCCACAUUGGGACUGAGACACGGCCCAAACUCCUACGGGAGGCAGCAGUAGGGAAUCUUCCACAAUGGACGCAAGCCUGAUGGAGCAACGCCGCGUGAGUGAAGAAGGUCUUCGGAUCGUAAAGCACUGUUGUAAGUGAAGAAUGCCAUAUAGAGGAAAUGCUAUGUGGGU
RNAcentral lists this ribosomal RNA (474 nucleotides) under uncultured bacterium. Its description in RNAcentral is "bacterial SSU rRNA". It matches the Rfam family "Bacterial small subunit ribosomal RNA", at positions 28 to 477 of the family's 1533-position model. The record is from RNAcentral.